GAAUUCCUGGACACAAAGGACAGACAGGCGGAAGAGGACAGGCAGAUGGACACUGAGGCUGCUGCAUCUGAAGCCCCCCAGGAUGUGACCUACGCCCAGCUGCACAGCUUGACCCUCAGACGGGAGGCAACUGAGCCUCCUCCAUCCCAGGAAGGGCCCUCUCCAGCUGUGCCCAGCAUCUACGCCACUCUGGCCAUCCACUAGCCCAGGGGGGGACGCAGACCCCACACUCCAUGGAGUCUGGAAUGCAUGGGAGCUGCCCCCCCAGUGGACACCAUUGGACCCCACCCAGCCUGGAUCUACCCCAGGAGACUCUGGGAACUUUUAGGGGUCACUCAAUUCUGCAGUAUAAAUAACUAAUGUCUCUACAAUUUUGAAAUAAAGCAACAGACUUCUCAAUAAUCAAUGAAGUAGCUGAGAAAACUAAGUCAGAAAGUGCAUUAAACUGAAUCACAAUGUAAAUAUUACACAUCAAGCGAUGAAACUGGAAAACUACAAGCCACGAAUGAAUGAAUUAGGAAAGAAAAAAAGUAGGAAAUGAAUGAUCUUGGCUUUCCUAUAAGAAAUUUAGGGCAGGGCACGGUGGCUCACGCCUGUAAUUCCAGCACUUUGGGAGGCCGAGGCGGGCAGAUCACGAGUUCAGGAGAUCGAGACCAUCUUGGCCAACAUGGUGAAACCCUGUCUCUCCUAAAAAUACAAAAAUUAGCUGGAUGUGGUGGCAGUGCCUGUAAUCCCAGCUAUUUGGGAGGCUGAGGCAGGAGAAUCGCUUGAACCAGGGAGUCAGAGGUUUCAGUGAGCCAAGAUCGCACCACUGCUCUCCAGCCUGGCGACAGAGGGAGACUCCAUCUCAAAUUAAAAAAAAAAAAAAAAAAGAAAGAAAAAGAGAAAAAAGAAAUUUAGAAGAAUAACAAGUUAUUCCAAAUGAAGGCGUAAGAAAGGGAAUAAUAACAAUAAUAAGAGGAGUUGUUCAUGAGGAAAAACCAAAGCUUGAAAAUUCAACAAAGCCAGUGAAGCUCAUUCUUGAAAACAUGAAUCACACUCAUGAAUUCUAACUACAAUGAAAAAGAGAAAGAAA
Molecule: long non-coding RNA, 1075 nt
Organism: Homo sapiens (human)
Lineage: Eukaryota; Metazoa; Chordata; Mammalia; Primates; Hominidae
Exons: 2
Source: RefSeq, a predicted model, not a curated record